Molecule: ribosomal RNA, 253 nt
Filed under: uncultured bacterium
Lineage: Bacteria
Description: partial 16S ribosomal RNA
Rfam family: Bacterial small subunit ribosomal RNA
Source: RNAcentral
UACGGAGGGUGCAAACGUUGCUCGGAAUCAUUGGGCGUAAAGCGCACGUAGGCGGACCGCUAAGUCGGAUGUGAAAGCCCUCGGCUUAACCGAGGAAGUGCAUUCGAAACUGACGGUCUUGAGUAUGGAAGAGGGUCGCGGAAUUCCCGGUGUAGAGGUGAAAUUCGUAGAUAUCGGGAGGAACACCAGUGGCGAAGGCGGCGACCUGGGCCAAUACUGACGCUGAGGUGCGAAAGCCAGGGGAGCAAACAGG